RNAcentral lists this unclassified non-coding RNA (217 nucleotides) under uncultured fungus. RNAcentral's name for it is "sequence contains ITS1". The record is from RNAcentral. Lineage: Eukaryota; Fungi.
GUAUUUAAUUUUCUGCCCAACUAAAGGCAUAGUUAAUUCACAUUCAAUAAACUCAGGGUUUGUUAAAUUUGGCGUUGGCAGAUGAAUCUCCUAGAUGGGAGACACCUAACCAACAGUGCACAGGUGUAAUUGGAUAAAGGUGAGGGUUCGGGAAUCCAUGAGAAUGGAAAAUCCCUUUAAUUCACUAAUGAUCCUUCUGCAGGUUCACCUACAGAAA